UGGAAAACUAUAGUCAAACGUUAGCUAAAUAGGGAAGUAUCUAAAAAGGAAAAGAAAUAGAACUCAAGCUUCAAAAAAGCAUCCAUGGAGAUGUCUGGAAAGCGUGUCUUAUCCGUAAUGAGGUUGACCAUUCGUGCGCAAGUAUACAUCUUGGCAAAAGCGGAUUUAAGAUUUGGAGGUCGGGGGUGCCACAACGUUCAAGUAAGAUGAAAGGAUCGGUUGCUUUAAUUUUGGAUUAUAACUCGGGUACUUCAGGGCUGGUUGCUACAUCACUCCUUUUCUCCUUAAUUUUGAUCAGUUCUUUCUCCUACACUUGUAAUAGUUGUAUUGUGUUCUCUUGUUUGCAUGAUCUAUCUUGUGGUACAUUCAGAUAGAGUAGCAAACGAGUUGCUGGUCCCAAUAUCCUUUUAUGGGGAUAUAGCCGCAUAUUGAAGAUUUUUAAUAGUUUGUUUAUUCUAGAAA
Molecule: long non-coding RNA, 462 nt
Organism: Solanum lycopersicum (tomato)
Lineage: Eukaryota; Viridiplantae; Streptophyta; Magnoliopsida; Solanales; Solanaceae
Source: RefSeq, a predicted model, not a curated record